Molecule: ribosomal RNA, 560 nt
Filed under: uncultured bacterium
Lineage: Bacteria
Description: bacterial SSU rRNA
Rfam family: Bacterial small subunit ribosomal RNA
Source: RNAcentral
GGCGCACGGGUGCGUAACGCGUAUACAAUCUGCCUUUCACAUAGGGAUAGCCCGAAGAAAUUUGGAUUAAUACCUAAUGGUAUAUAAGAGCGGCAUCGUUUUUAUAUUAAAGCUACGGUGGUGAAAGAUGAGUAUGCGUUCUAUUAGCUAGUUGGAGAGGUAACGGCUCCCCAAGGCGACGAUAGAUAGGGGUUCUGAGAGGGAUGUCCCCCACACUGGUACUGAGAUACGGACCAGACUCCUACGGGAGGCAGCAGUGAGGAAUAUUGGACAAUGGUCGGAAGACUGAUCCAGCCAUGCCGCGUGCAGGAUGAAGGUCCUAUGGAUUGUAAACUGCUUUUGUAAGGGAAGAAUAAGGAGUACGUGUACUUUGAUGACGGUACCUUACGAAUAAGCAUCGGCUAACUCCGUGCCAGCAGCCGCGGUAAUACGGAGGAUGCGAGCGUUAUCCGGAAUCAUUGGGUUUAAAGGGUCCGUAGGCGGGCUGAUAAGUCANANGUGAAAGCGCUUAGCUCAACUAAGCAACUGCCUUUGAAACUGUCAGUCUUGAAUGAUUGUGA